RNAcentral lists this ribosomal RNA (252 nucleotides) under uncultured bacterium. RNAcentral describes it as "partial 16S ribosomal RNA". It matches the Rfam family "Bacterial small subunit ribosomal RNA", at positions 524 to 776 of the family's 1533-position model. The record is from RNAcentral.
UACGUAGGGUGCGAGCGUUAAUCGGAAUUACUGGGCGUAAAGCGUGCGCAGGCGGUUUUGUAAGCCAGAUGUGAAAGCCCCGGGCUUAACCUGGGAAUGGCAUUUGGGACUGCAAGGCUGGAGUUUGGCAGAGGAGACUGGAAUUCCUGGUGUAGCAGUGAAAUGCGUAGAUAUCAGGAGGAAUACCGAUGGCGAAGGCAGGUCCUGGCUCGUAUCUGACGCUGAGGUGCGAAAGCUAGGGGAGCGAACGGG